UAUCACAUCAAAUUUUACACAAGCUAUCUAGGAAGUGUGGAGUGGAGUCUCUUAAUUUUGAGAGGCAACUAUGUCCAUCGAAGCUCUGGCAAUGGCUGGCGUUAGUUACACGGAAUGUGGCAACAAUCUUGAGUUUAGUGAGUUGGAAUUAGAGCCACCACUGUAUCUUAUUGCUGAGGAAAAGAGUCCGAGUUUUCAAGCUAAUAAAAAGGCUGCUGAUAAUAAUAAGUUGCUGAUUAACGGUGAGACCAUUAAAGAAAGGAUUCGGGAAUGAGCUAAAGCAGUUGCUUCAAUCAAUUCCUCAUACAUUUCUGACUCCGAAUCAGAAAUUAACAAGGACGCAACGGCUACACAGAUUUUUACACGCAAGGAAGCAUUUAAAGCAUCAACCAAACUAAUUGUUGCUGGAAACUCAUGACUUAUAAGGGCGUUACAGCCGUUACUAGAAAUUAGAGAUAGAAUCCAGUAGAGUUUAAUAUUCAGGAAAAAUCUUAGUCAAUGCUAUAUGUACUUUUAGCAAAUUAUUAGUGAUAAAAUAGAAGAGACUGUAGAUAAUUGCAUGAAAAUUUAAGAAUUUUUAUUAACCUCUUAUUAUUUAAUCAGAG
This 605-nucleotide long non-coding RNA is filed under the name Olea europaea subsp. europaea. Lineage: Eukaryota; Viridiplantae; Streptophyta; Magnoliopsida; Lamiales; Oleaceae. The record is from RNAcentral.